This 1194-nucleotide long non-coding RNA is filed under the name Bos grunniens (domestic yak). Its description in RNAcentral is "lncRNA (ENSBGRG00000011069.1)". Lineage: Eukaryota; Metazoa; Chordata; Mammalia; Artiodactyla; Bovidae. The record is from RNAcentral.
CAGGCCUGAGUGCUGUGGGAGUCUCAGUUCCACAGGGAGGAAGUGGUUUGCCCCCAGGUCAGGCUGGAUUUGAGCAGCCCUCAGGCUCUGGAGGAGCUGUGCUACCUCUGAGUGGUCCCUGCAGCCCCAGCUCACCCGCAUCUGUGAAGUCCUGUUUCUGGGGUGGUUUCUUAGGCCACACGAGGACAGCGCCUCUGGGGCCCCGUCACCUCAUCUGGGGUCUGUGUCCUGAUCCUAGUCCACCAGCCCAGCCCAUCCGUCCCUAGCAGGCUAUGACCUUGGGGGAGACGCCUGAUUUGGCUUCACGACUGCAAAUGGAGACAAGACAACUUUGUUCCUGAAGACCGGUCUGACCGUUACACUGGCGAUCAAGGGAGACCUCUCCCUUGUCCUGCCUGCUUGUCUUUCUCCUCACACCCUGUCCCCGGGGCAGGGAGCAGUCAGGUGGUGACUGGAUUCCAGUGCAGCUACUCCAGGCAGUGCUUCACUAGGGAAGCAGGCCCCCACUUCCCUGAGAGCCAGGGUCCCCUCAGCAGGAUCCUGAGGCAGACGCUCAAACCGGGCAGGAGGAGGUCACUCCUCAUUGCUCCCCCUGCCCAGGAUGCCCAGGCCUUUUCACACCAGGACUGUUGGGAGCAUCCUCCUCCCGGGGCACUGAGCAGGGAGUGAGGGCAGCUGCUGACCCCCAGGACCGCUCAGUCUGACCUCAGUCAAGAUUCCCCCUGCUGACUCCAGGGAACUUGGCGUUGUUUCCCAGGAACUUCUGCUGACUGCGAUCUGAGCUCACAAGUUCCGUCACGAACAAGCUCAGGCUCGGCUGGUGUGGACACACGCACAGAUAUGCUGCUCUGAGGGGCCCUGUGUGGGGCUGCCAGGCCCCUGAGGGAAGUGGCAGGGACACGCAGUGUGCAGGCUGGAGGGUGACGGCUUCUGAGGAACUUCUCUCGGGGUCUAGAGUCUCUUUUUGGGAAUGGGGAGAGGUCCCCCCACGGGGCAGGUUCCUCUGGAUGAAUUUGCCCUAGAUUGUAACACCCACCGUGUCCAUCUCACCCAACGCCCCAGUGGAAUCCGUGGUGUGAGGUCACAGCACCUCUGGAGGCCAGUCUCCCUGGCUGUGUGCUCCUGAGCCAGCCAAGGCCUUCAGGCACUGCCCUUGUCUGAAAAUGGACAGGGGAGGAUGAGAUGGAGGGCUUC